UACGGGGGGGGUAAGCGUUGUUCGGAAUUACUGGGCGUAAAGGGCUCGUAGGCGGCCAACUAAGUCAGACGUGAAAUCCCUCAGCUUAACUGGGGAACUGCGUCUGAUACUGGAUGGCUUGGAUUCGGGAGAGGAAUGCGGAAUUCCAGGUGUAGCGGUGAAAUGCGUAGAUAUCUGGAGGAACACCGGUGGCGAAGGCGGGUCUCUGGGCCGAUACUGACGCUGAGGAGCGAAAGCAUGGGUAGCGAACAGG
This 253-nucleotide ribosomal RNA is filed under the name uncultured bacterium. RNAcentral's name for it is "partial 16S ribosomal RNA". It matches the Rfam family "Bacterial small subunit ribosomal RNA", at positions 524 to 776 of the family's 1533-position model. The record is from RNAcentral.